Molecule: long non-coding RNA, 2304 nt
Organism: Anolis carolinensis (green anole)
Lineage: Eukaryota; Metazoa; Chordata; Lepidosauria; Squamata; Anolidae
Exons: 2
Source: RefSeq, a predicted model, not a curated record
GGGAGGGAGAGCCCCAACUCCUACCUCCUCUGCUGAGAACUGUCCCUGGGCCACUCCGAGGAGGGCUGCCGAAGGGGCGAAGGAAGAGGCUAAGAGCAGCAGCGGCAGCCAGCAUGGGGCUCCCACCGCUGUAGCCAUGGCAACUUUGGAGAACUUUUCAGCAAGGAGUCUUUGCUGCCACCGCCCCUCUCAUGUGAAUUGACACCAUUGGGAAGAAUCAAGCCUAUUCAAAUUCAUUGUAAAACUGCAUAGACUCCCUAGGACCCAGAGGAGCCUUAGAACCCCACAGCUGCAUCAUUUUUACAAGGCAAUCCCAAAAGGUGAAGACAGAAAAUAGAGAAAGGAUCUAUCAGAGUGGGGAUCAGAAAAGGAAACUCCUUUGUAAGGAUAUGUAAGAGCACCAAAUCUUGUUAUCUAUCUGCUUCAUAUUUUAAUUUAUCACUAUUUCAUGGUCUUGUAUGAUGUACUAUCCAUGAUAUGAUUCCAUAUCAUGAAAAUUCUCCUGUUGUCCAAAUGUUGUCCAAAUGUUUGUAUUACCUAAUGUCCCAAAGUCUUUUGAAGUGAGCAGUUUUUAUUAAUAAAUAACAUUUAAAUUGUCAUUACUGUCAUGGUACAAUUAAGUCUGUGAACAGACAUUUGCGAUGGAGGGCGCUGUUGAUUAGUAUGUGUUCAACACACACAAUUAUGACUGGGUGGGUUUGGAUUUAGGCAGUAGUUUGGUCACAAUGAGUCUAGAGAACAGCUUAGAUAACAGUCUACUCUUGCUGAGCCCACUCUUUUCCAAAAUCAUCAUCUUUGUCUGACACAUCUUUCUCUGUUUCUAUAAUUUGACAUAUUUCUCCAAACAAUUUGUCUGUAGUUGCUUCUCCAACAUCUCAUUUUAUCAUAUCUCAUAGCUCUAUGAAGGAGGUUAAGACGAAAAGGUGAUGUCAGACCUAAGAUCAUCCAGUGAGUUUCAUGGCUAAAUGGGAUCUUGAACUUGGGUCUUCCCAGUCUUAGCCUAACAAUUAUAUUGAAUCUUGGUUAUUCUUCGUAGCCUUUACCUCUGCCAUCUCCUGACCUCUACUUCUCUUUGAACAUUUGUAGCUUAAUUUUCUAUGAUUCUGUUCCUGAUUAUGCUGUUGCUACAUUUAUAACAUUCUGACUUUCUUCUUCUUUUCUCUUCAACACUAGCAUAGGUUGGCCUAAAUCCUAUUACUUGUACAAACUAUAAUAUACCAAUUGAAUCAAUUGAAUUAACUAUGUAUUAGUUUUUCAUUUAACAACUGAAUUGACUAACAGGACAUUAGUGAUUGUGUUUUUCAUUAGUGCCAGGCACCCAAAAUACUCUCAUCACUUCAUCCGAGUUGAAGAGAUGUGCCUUGAGUUAAUAAAGAAAACUAUUAGUCUGCAUAAGCUUUGUUUUAAGCCUCCUUAAGACCCAAACAAAAAAGCUAAUUCCCAGGUACAACUGCUACAUUAACACCACAGAACAAACAAAAAAGUUACGCUGAAGGCUCAACAAAUGCUUGGCAUACACAUGAAAACAAAUUUUAGUAACUACAGUAGAGUCUCACUUAUCCAAGCUAAAUGGGCCGGCCAAAGCUUGGAUAAGCGAAUAUCUUGGAUAAUAAGGAGGGAUUAAGGAAAAGCCUAUUAAACAUCAAAUUAGGUUAUGAUUUUAGAAAUUAAGCACCAAAACAUCAUGUUAUACAACAAAUUUGACAGAAAAAGUAGUUCAAUACGCAGUAAUGUUAUGUUGUAAUUACUGUAUUUAUGAAUUUAGCACCAAAAUAUCAUGAUAUAUUGAAAACAUUGACUACAAAAAUGGCUUGGAUUAUCCAGAAGCUUGGAUAAGCGAGGCUUGGAUAAGUGAGACUCUACUGUACAUGAGCCUUCAGAUCUCUUUAUUUACUCUUGUUUUUCUUAUCCACUUUCUUCUGGUUUGGUCUCCAUACUUUCAGAGGGAGAAAGGCAGUGAUAUUUUGGGUUCCCACUAAUGAGAGAGUAGAUCCAGGGAAUGGUAAGGGGGAAAAAAUUUUUACAGCAUCUUUUCAUGUGUCUACUCUAGAGUGCUGUUCAACCUCUCAGACCAGUGUGAGAACCUACUCUCUUUGCUUUCUUCCUAAAAGGGAAGUACCUCACAAUCUGAAGUACCACAAGACAUGCAGUUUGGUCCAGUUUUCCAGGUGAUAUUUUUCCUGCCAUAGAUGUCAAUAGAGUGGUCCCCUGAUAACCACUGGGGUUCCAGGAAUACCAACAUCCAUGAAUGCUCGAGUCCCAUUAUAUACAAUUGCAUAAUAAAAUUGUAUCUUUUAAUAAUAA